UACGUAGGGUGCAAGCGUUAAUCGGAAUUAUUGGGCGUAAAGCGCGCGCAGGCGGUUUCUUAAGUCUGAUGUGAAAGCCCACGGCUUAACCGUGGAAGGGCAUUGGAAACUGGGAGACUUGAGUGCAGAAGAGAAGAGCGGAAUUCCACGUGUAGCGGUGAAAUGCGUAGAGAUGUGGAGGAACACCAGUGGCGAAGGCGGCUCUCUGGUCUGUAACUGACGCUGAGGCGCGAAAGCGUGGGGAUCAAACAGG
RNAcentral lists this ribosomal RNA (253 nucleotides) under uncultured bacterium. RNAcentral's name for it is "partial 16S ribosomal RNA". It matches the Rfam family "Bacterial small subunit ribosomal RNA", at positions 524 to 776 of the family's 1533-position model. The record is from RNAcentral.